AUGUAGGUUAGGAAACUGUAUCACAGCCAUGGGUUUAAGCACUGGAGGAACCAGAGGUGGUGAUUCACUGAAUUAGAAUUCCCCUAACCAGCUGCAGUAUAAAAAUCCCUGAAGAAGUGUGUGCUGACUUGAUCAGAGGCACAAAGGAAAAGAAUCUCAAAGUGAAAGGACCAGUUGGGAUGCCUACCAAGACUUUGAGAAUCACUACAAGAAAAACGCCUGUGGUAAAGGUUCUAAGACAUGGAAUCACUCCCAGAAGAGCAUCCGCAAGCAGUUUAUUGACUUGCACAGUCCUUCUGAGAUUGUUAAAUAGAUUUAUUCGGUCAGUAUUGAGCCAAGAGUUGAGGUUGAAGUCACCAUUGCAGAU
This 367-nucleotide long non-coding RNA is filed under the name Homo sapiens (human). RNAcentral's name for it is "non-protein coding lnc-OTX1-4:1". The record is from RNAcentral. Lineage: Eukaryota; Metazoa; Chordata; Mammalia; Primates; Hominidae.